UAGUAUUUUCUUGUUUUUACCUGGUAAUAUUAUUUCCGACACCCCUUGAACACACUUUGAUUUUCUGUAGUUCAGUGAAUGCAACAAAAGCACGUUGCUGCAUUAAGCUAGGCAAAACGGAGCAAGACACCGAGAGCAAUUAACAAGCUACACAAGGCCUUUAUGUGUUUUACUCUCGACCAAAACCAGGCAGAGCGUGUAUUUGUUUCUUGGGAAUUCCGACUGGUUUUUUGUGAUCCUGGAUCUGAAGUGGUUCUGGAUAUGGAUGG
Long non-coding RNA from Maylandia zebra (zebra mbuna), 269 nucleotides. RefSeq lists it as uncharacterized. Lineage: Eukaryota; Metazoa; Chordata; Actinopteri; Cichliformes; Cichlidae. The record is from RefSeq and is a predicted model, not a curated record.